GGGGGCUCGCAAGAGUCAACCGGCGAACGGGUGCGUAACACGUAAGCGACCUGCCCUGGAGUGGGGGAUAGCCGGCUCAACGGCCGGGUAAUACCGCAUACGACGGUCUGGGGGCAUAUCCGGACUGUGAAACCUGCGGGGCUCUGGGAGGGGCUUGCGGCCUAUCAGCUAGUUGGCGGGGUAACGGCCCACCAAGGCGAUGACGGGUAGCUGGUCUGAGAGGAUGGCCGGCCACAUUGGGACUGAGAGACGGCCCAGACUCCUACGGGAGGCAGCAGUGGGGAAUCUUGCGCAACGGCCGAAAGGCUGACGCAGCGACGCCGCGUGGAGGAUGACGCCCUUCGGGGUGUAAACUCCUGUUGCCCGGGACGAACGACCCUUUUCGAGGGGUGUGACGGUACCGGGUGAGGAAGCACCGGCUAACUCUGUGCCAGCAGCCGCGGUAAUACAGAGGGUGCGAGCGUUGUCCGGAAUCACUGGGCGUAAAGGGCGCGUAGGCGGCUGGGUAAGCGUGUGGUGAAAGUCCGGGGCUCAACCCCGGAUCGGCCAUGCGAACUGUCCAGCUGGAGCACGGUAGAGGCACAUGGAAUUCCGGGUGUAGCGGUGGAAUGCGUAGAGAUCCGGAAGAACACCGGUGGCGAAGGCGGUGUGCUGGGCCGUAGCUGACGCUGAGGCGCGACAGCGUGGGGAGCAAACAGGAUUAGAUACCCUGGUAGUCCACGCCGUAAACGAUGGGCACUAGGUCCU
This 747-nucleotide ribosomal RNA is filed under the name uncultured bacterium. RNAcentral describes it as "bacterial SSU rRNA". It matches the Rfam family "Bacterial small subunit ribosomal RNA", at positions 66 to 824 of the family's 1533-position model. The record is from RNAcentral.